RNAcentral lists this ribosomal RNA (969 nucleotides) under Triticum aestivum (bread wheat). RNAcentral describes it as "partial small subunit ribosomal RNA". The record is from RNAcentral. Lineage: Eukaryota; Viridiplantae; Streptophyta; Magnoliopsida; Poales; Poaceae.
AUGGCCGCCCGUUCUCCUGCCGCCGCAGGGUUCGAAAACGAGUGCAGAGAGAUCCAUGGCGCGUGCGACGAGCCGCGCCGCCUGAGCCGCCUCCUGGCUCACCGGAGCGCGUCGGAGAGGCAGCAGAUCAAGGUGACGUACCGUGCAAUGUUCGGCGAGGACCUCGCCGGCAGGCUCCACAAAACCCUCACGGCCAAUCAGGACAAUGAGCUCUGCAACCUGCUCUACCUGUGGAUGCUUGACCUGGCGGAGCGAGACGCGAUCAUGGCGAGGGACGCCAUCGAGAGCGGCGCGGCGGCCGAUUACCGCGCCCUUGUCGAGGUCUUCACGCGGCGGAAGCAGGACCAGCUCUUCUUCACCAAGCAGGCGUACCUGUCCAGGUUCAAGAAGAACCUGGAGCAGGACAUGGACACCGACCCCUCGCACCCUUAUCAGAGACUAUUGGUAGCUCUGGCAACCUCCCACAAGUCGCACCACGAUGAACCCAGCCGGCACAUCGCGAAGUGCGACGCCAGGCGAUUGUACGACGCCAAGAACGGUGGCGGCACGGGAUCGGUCGACGAGGCCGCCAUCCUCGAGAUGUUCAGCAAGAGGAGCAUCCCACAGCUCAGGCUGGCGCUCUGCAGUUACAAGCAUAUAUAUGGGCAUGACUUCACCAAAGCACUGAAGAAGAAUUUGGCUGGUGAUUUUGAAGAGUCUCUGAGACUUGUUGUCAAGUGCAUCUACAGUCCUUCCAAGUAUUACUGCAAGUUACUGCAGAGAAGCAUGCAACGCCCAGAAGCCCAUAAAAGGUUGGUUACGAGGGCUAUCUUGGGCAGCGACGACGUCGGCAUAAACGAGAUCAAGUUGGCGUUCAAGAGUAACUUCGGAAAGAACUUCGCAGAUUUCAUCCAUGAAAGCUUACCACAGAGUGAUUACAGAGAGUUUCUUUGGUUGUGGCAAGGGGGCCGGUGCCCAGUAGCAUCAUAA